RNAcentral lists this ribosomal RNA (835 nucleotides) under uncultured Methanomicrobiales archaeon. Its description in RNAcentral is "bacterial SSU rRNA". It matches the Rfam family "Archaeal small subunit ribosomal RNA", at positions 1 to 844 of the family's 1478-position model. Lineage: Archaea; Methanobacteriati; Methanobacteriota; Methanomicrobia; Methanomicrobiales. The record is from RNAcentral.
UCCGGUUGAUCCUGCCAGAGGCCACUGCUAUCGGAGUUCGAUUAAGCCAUGCGAGUCGAGAGGUGUAAGACCUCGGCAUACUGCUCAGUAACACGUGGACAACCUACCCUGAAGAGGGGGAUAACCCCGGGAAACUGGGGAUAAUACCCCAUAGGCUAUGGAUGCUGGAAUGCUCUGUAGUUGAAAGGUCCGCCGCUUCAGGAUGGGUCUGCGGCCGAUUAGGUUGUUGUUGGGGUAACGGCCCAACAAGCCUGUAAUCGGUACGGGUUGUGGGAGCAAGAGCCCGGAGAUGGAUUCUGAGACACAAAUCCAGGCCCUACGGGGCGCAGCAGGCGCGAAAACUUUGCAAUGCGAGAAAUCGUGACAAGGGAACUCCGAGUGCCUGUAAAAUCAGGCUGUCCGCCAGUGUAAAUAACUGGCGAAGAAAGGGCCGGGCAGGACCGGUGCCAGCCGCCGCGGUAAUACCGGCGGCUCGAGUGGUGGCCACUAUUACUGGGCUUAAAGCGUUCGUAGCUGGCUUGUUUAAGUCUCUGGGGAAAUCUUCCGGCUUAACCGGAAGGCGUCUCAGGGAUACUGGCAGGCUAGGGACCGGAAGAGGUGAGAGGUACUCCAGGGGUAGGAGUGAAAUCCUGUAAUCCUUGGGGGACCACCUGUGGCGAAGGCGUCUCACCAGGACGGCUCCGACAGUGAGGAACGAAAGCUGGGGGAGCAAACCGGAUUAGAUACCCGGGUAGUCCCAGCUGUAAACGAUGCGCGUUAGGUGUAUCGGUGACCACGAGUCACCGAGGUGCCGAAGAGAAAUUGUGAAACGUCGCCGCCUGGGAAGUACGGUCGC